This 218-nucleotide unclassified non-coding RNA is filed under the name Hevea brasiliensis (rubber tree). The record is from RNAcentral. Lineage: Eukaryota; Viridiplantae; Streptophyta; Magnoliopsida; Malpighiales; Euphorbiaceae.
AGAGAGGAGGAGAGAAGCGUUGGCAGAAGAAGAGGUGAAGAAAAUGUGGGAAUUUCAGGUACAGUUAGCAUGAUGGAUGGCAGUGGAGAAGGGGUUCUUAUGACGAAGAAGAAUAAGCAACUAGGAGGGCGGAAGGGCUCCAAGAAUAAGAAGAGAAAGGUUGGAGAAAAUGGGGAAUCACCAAAUGCAGCUGGCAUAGGCAAUGACUGUGAUGCGAU